This 511-nucleotide ribosomal RNA is filed under the name uncultured bacterium. Its description in RNAcentral is "bacterial SSU rRNA". It matches the Rfam family "Bacterial small subunit ribosomal RNA", at positions 28 to 527 of the family's 1533-position model. The record is from RNAcentral.
GAUGAACGCUAGCGAUAGGCCUAACACAUGCAAGUCGAGGGGCAUCACAUGAAGUAGCAAUACGGAUGGUGGCGACCGGCGCACGGGUGAGUAACACGUAUGCAACCUGCCUUCAACAAGGGGAUAACCCGUUGAAAGACGGACUAAUACCCUAUAACACAGGGGUCCCGCAUGGGAAUAUUUGUUAAAGGACAACCGGUUGAAGAUGGGCAUGCGUUCCAUUAGCUAGUUGGCGGGGUAACGGCCCACCAAGGCAACGAUGGAUAGGGGAACUGAGAGGUUUAUCCCCCACACUGGUACUGAGACACGGACCAGACUCCUACGGGAGGCAGCAGUGAGGAAUAUUGGUCAAUGGACGCAAGUCUGAACCAGCCACGUCGCGUGAAGGAAGACGGCCCUACGGGUUGUAAACUUCUUUUAUACGGGAAUAAAGUGCCCCACGCGUGGGGUUUUGCAUGUACCGUAUGAAUAAGGAUCGGCUAACUCCGUGCCAGCAGCCGCGGUAAGUACG